RNAcentral lists this transfer RNA (70 nucleotides) under Marmota monax (woodchuck). RNAcentral describes it as "tRNA.Ala". Lineage: Eukaryota; Metazoa; Chordata; Mammalia; Rodentia; Sciuridae. The record is from RNAcentral.
GGGCUGGGGCUCAGUGGUAGAGCACUCACCUAGCAUGUGUGAGGCACUGGGUUCAAUGCUCAGCACCACG